AUAUGACAUUAAAAUUUUAGAUAAAAAAUAUUGAUCUUGUUUUAUAUAGUAUAAAGAAUUUUCUAUCAAAAUUUUACAUGAUUUGAAUAUUCCUAUACCGUUAAACUUGUAAAUAGCUCAUCACGGCCAUUAAAAUUAUUGAUUUGAGCUCCUUCGAUUACUGGGCAAAUGAUAUCAAAAAAUUACAAAAUUUAUUUUUUAAAUACUUCAAAUACUCUAGAUUAAGUUUAACGGAGCCGAUCGUCAAUUUGAAAAUCCCGAAAACGACUUGGAAGCACGGAAGGCUUCAUACUUUCAGAAGCAUAUAUAUAUAUAUAUAUAUAUAUAUAUAUAUAUAGAGUCCGACUGCCAUGCUAUUGAUAGCACUAAGCACUUGGUGCUAUCAAGUUUUCUGCCGUUAAAUUAACCCCUUUGAUUAUUUUUAUCCGUUAGAUUAUACUAUUAAACCAACCACCCACUCAACCCUAAGGGGCCCACAUCAUCCUAACCGCACAUCUUUUAAUCUAAGGGCUAAUAUACUAUUAAUAUAUAGCACCAAGUCAUUGGUACUACUAAGUUUUUGGCCAUUGGAUUAAGAGAUGUGCGGUUAGGAUAAUGUGGGUCCCCUAGGGUUGAGUUGGUGGUUGGUUGAAUAAUAUAAUCUAACGGAUGAAAAUGAUUAAAAGGGUAGAUCUAAUGGCGGAAAACUUGGUAGCACUAAAUGCUUCGUGCUAUUAAUAGCAUAGUAGUCAAAUAUAUAUCUAUAGAGUCCGGCUACUAUGCUAUCGGUAGCACGGAGCGCUCCGUGCUACCAAGUUGUUUUUGAUGAUGCGGCUUCCAAAUCGACGAUCGGCUCCGUUAGACUUGAUCUACACUAUUGAAAGUAUUUGAAAACUAAAUUUCAGAUUUUUUCGACAUCAUUUGACUAGUGAUCAAAAGAUCUCAAAAUUAACAAUUUUAAUGGCCGAUGUGGUGUGUUUGUGAGUUUAACGGUGUAAAACAAUCCAAAUGCGAUAAAAAUUUUAUAGAAAAUUCUUUUCACUAUUUAGAGUAAGAUCAGUAUAUCUGAUCUUGAAUUUAAAUCCUUUAUUAUCAUUUCUCAUGAGAUUUUUAUUUUCAACCGUUCAAUUU
Molecule: long non-coding RNA, 1110 nt
Filed under: Ananas comosus (pineapple)
Lineage: Eukaryota; Viridiplantae; Streptophyta; Magnoliopsida; Poales; Bromeliaceae
Description: long non-coding RNA (ACOM_LNC007716)
Source: RNAcentral